This 281-nucleotide long non-coding RNA is filed under the name Capsicum annuum. RNAcentral's name for it is "long non-coding RNA (CANN_LNC015560)". The record is from RNAcentral. Lineage: Eukaryota; Viridiplantae; Streptophyta; Magnoliopsida; Solanales; Solanaceae.
UCCUAGUAAAAAUAUUUUUUAUUGUUGGUAUUUUAAAUAUUUUUUCUACACUUAAGUCUAAUUCUUUUUCUUUUAUUUCAUCAAAUAUGUUACUGUCAAAUAUUAUUUUUUGUUCUGUUCCUUCAUCAUUUAAAUAUUCUUCAUUUGUUAUUAUUUUUAUAUCUUCUUCAGUCAUUUGAUUCAUCUAUUUCACUAUCUAUUUCAUUAUCUGUUUCGUUUUCUGAAAUUUCAUAUAUACUAUCCUCACUUUCUAAUUCAUAAUCUAUAUAGUCUAUCUGCAU